RNAcentral lists this non-coding RNA (152 nucleotides) under uncultured Ruminococcus sp. Its description in RNAcentral is "Lysine riboswitch". It matches the Rfam family "Lysine riboswitch aptamer". From Rfam's summary of the family: Riboswitches are metabolite binding domains within certain messenger RNAs that serve as precision sensors for their corresponding targets. Allosteric rearrangement of mRNA structure is mediated by ligand binding, and this results in modulation of gene expression. The record is from RNAcentral. Lineage: Bacteria; Bacillati; Bacillota; Clostridia; Eubacteriales; Oscillospiraceae.
UCAGAGGCGCGGACUUUAUCAGUAGCGGACGUUACGGCGCGCAAAAGCCGUUCGCGAAAGGAAAGUCUGCCGAGGUUUUUCGGGGGUUUGCGGCUCCGUAAUUCCGGGACAGCGUGAAAUACGCGCUGUACUGUCGCGUUUGCGGAGUGCUG